AACGCAUAUUGUGCUCUUUGGUAUUCCGAAGAGCAUGCUUGUUUGAGUAUCAGUAAACACCUCAACCUCUCUUUUUUGAUAAAAAAAAGGGAGGGUGGACUUGAGCUAUCCCAAGGACCUUCACCGGUAGGCGGGCAGCUUGAAAUGCAGGUGCAGCUGGACUUUUAUCUGAGCUAAAAGCAUAUCUAUUUAGUCCUCGUCAAACAGGAUUAUUACUUUUGCUGCAGCUAACAUAAAGGAUAAUUGUCCUCUUUGCUGACUGAUGCAGGAUUUUACAACACUUUAUGUGUUGUUCAACUCGAUCUCAAAUCAAGUAAGACUACCCGCUGAACUUAA
Molecule: unclassified non-coding RNA, 336 nt
Filed under: uncultured Mortierellaceae
Lineage: Eukaryota; Fungi; Mortierellomycota; Mortierellomycetes; Mortierellales; Mortierellaceae
Description: sequence contains ITS2
Source: RNAcentral